Vespa mandarinia (Asian giant hornet) is the source of this 1692-nucleotide long non-coding RNA. RefSeq lists it as uncharacterized. Lineage: Eukaryota; Metazoa; Arthropoda; Insecta; Hymenoptera; Vespidae. The record is from RefSeq and is a predicted model, not a curated record.
UUUGAACGUUGAGCAAUCGUUGCGGUUGCAGAGAAAGAAUAAAAGUUAUUUACCUUUACCAACGGAUAUGUGUCAAAAGGGCCGGCCCUUUUUUCUCUCUCGUUGCAACCAUGUAGGCAUGCCAGUCCGUUAGUUCCACUUUUCUCGCGUCAUGUGGGCCAACCUCAUCUUUCCCACACUUGCCAUCUCGCGGUCAUUCUUCUUCUUCUCCUCUUUCUUCUUCGGGUUCGUCUUCGUCUUCGUUUCUUACAACGGCAUUCCUCGGGUUUGCACCCUGCAAUCUUUCGUGGCCCUUGCCGUUCGCUCUCCUCGUACUUUCUUUUGCCACGUUAAUUCUAGGGCCCCGAAACGCAUCCUCGAGAAAUCGUACACCGGUUGGGGAAAGGUAGAAUGCACGAAGGUGAACGCCACGGCAGGAUGUCUACGUUCUAAACAAUUAAGACGAGAUCAAAGUUCCAUACGAUGCGAGGGUAUCUAAUCGAAAUAAAAAUACGUGAGAAAGUAAUAGUAGGCGUAUAAUGGAACGAUAGUAGUAGAGAGAUGAUUCAACGGACAAUUAGAGUUUCUAGAUAACAUCAACGCUUUUUUCUUUUUUCGAUAUAAAGAAUUUUAGGGCGGGGGGGGAUGGGUGGACAGGGUUGAGGCGUGGAAGAAAUGAAGAAUGAGGAAGAAUAAGAAGAAAGAAGAAAAAGAAGAAGAAAUGAGGGAGGCUAUCACCGCGACCCUUCGACCGUGUACUCGGCUUAAAGUUGAGUACACACAGUUUAAUCGACGCGAAAACGGUUUCUUUAUCCUUAGAAAAACGUUCGUUUUUUCUUUUCUUUUCUCUCUCUCUCUCUCUCUCUCUCUCUCUCUUCUUCUCUUUUCUUCUUCUUUUUUCUUUUUUUUUUUCCUUCCCGAAGGAAAGUCAUUUACGUCUACACUGUUUACAGCCUAUUUUUUUUGUCUCCUUCUUUUCCGUUUUUUUUUCUUUCUUUCUUUCUUUCUUUCUUUCUUUCGGCCAUUUGUCUUACAAAGCCACUUCGUCCUUUAGUUUCUCGAUCGUUAAAGUAAGGAAAAUAGAAAUAUUUUAUUGCUAAGCGUAGUUUAGAGAAGAGGGAAGAAAAAAAAAUGUUCUCUCAUGGUUCGUCACAUUGGUGACAGAGUAAGAGGAUAAAGACGUAGGAGAAGGAGAGAGGAUAGCAGAGAAACAGAGAGAGAGAGAUGAAAGAGAGGAAAGAGAGGAGAAGAAGAAACGUUCAUUGUCAUGAGGAGACGAUGCGUGGAAACCGAGCCAGUAGUGGUGUGAGAGUAAAUGGAGUUUACUGGGAGUGGACGGUAUUCCCUCAGCCUCUUUUCGAGGGUCAUCGUUUGUGCGAAACCGCUAAGUGGACUUUGCGGCACCGAUGUGAACCAUCGUUUAAAUCGACCGAUAAGAAUAACCACGAAAACGGUGAAAACGGAGAAAGUGAGACGAGACUUAGAACACGAUUCAUCCGUAAUUGGAAACCGUACGGCGGUCACUCGGGGCAUCUAAUUCCGGGUCCCAACCCGCAUACAGGUAAAAUAAUAUUCGGGAACACGUGCUGCGAAUACGAGACAUCCUCCUCGCAUCCUCCUGAAAAUCUAGGAGCUUGGUAUUAGAUUCCUGACAGCCUAGACGUCGAUAGGAUUUCAAGAAAGUUAGAGUGCGGCAUAUAAAAAAAAAAAAAA